This 253-nucleotide ribosomal RNA is filed under the name uncultured bacterium. RNAcentral's name for it is "partial 16S ribosomal RNA". It matches the Rfam family "Bacterial small subunit ribosomal RNA", at positions 524 to 776 of the family's 1533-position model. The record is from RNAcentral.
UACGGAGGGUGCAAGCGUUAUCCGGAUUCACUGGGUUUAAAGGGUGUGUAGGCGGGUAUUUAAGUCAGUGGUGAAAUCUCCAGGCUCAACCUGGAAACUGCCAUUGAUACUAUUUAUCUUGAAUCUUGUUGAGGUGGGCGGAAUAUAUCAUGUAGCGGUGAAAUGCUUAGAUAUGAUAUAGAACACCGAUUGCGAAGGCAGCUCACUAAACAAGCAUUGACGCUGAGGCACGAAAGCGUGGGGAUCAAACAGG